GACGAACGCUGGCGGCGCGCUUAACACAUGCAAGUCGAACGGAAAGGCCUGCUUUCCCUUGUGGAUUGCGGGUACUCGAGUGGCGAACGGGUGAGUAACACGUGAGUGAUCUGCCCCCAACUUGGGUAUAAGCCUGGGAAACUGGGUCUAAUUCCCGAUAGGACUGCAGGGUGGUGCCUGUGGUGGAAAACGAUUUUCUAGUGGUUGGGGAUGAGCUCGCGGCCUAUCAGCUUGUUGGUGGGGUAAUGGCCUACCAAGGCGGCGACGGGUAGCCGGCCUGAGAGGGUGGACGGCCACAUUGGGACUGAGAUACGGCCCAGACUCCUACGGGAGGCAGCAGUGGGGAAUAAUGCACAAUGGGCGGAAGCCUGAUGCAGCGACGCCGCGUGGGGGAUGACGGCCUUCGGGUUGUAAACUCCUUUCGACCGCGAGGAAGCCACCUGGUUGGAAGGGUGGUGACGGUAGUGGUAGAAGAAGCACCGGCUAACUACGUG
Molecule: ribosomal RNA, 494 nt
Filed under: uncultured bacterium
Lineage: Bacteria
Description: partial 16S ribosomal RNA
Rfam family: Bacterial small subunit ribosomal RNA
Source: RNAcentral